UUAUGAUAAUGAUUCAUUGCAUUUGAUACAUGUAAAUUUGUAAAUGAUAGAACUUUGGUAAGAUAUAUCUGAAACCACAUUGUUUUCGACUACUUAUCUUUUCAUUAAUGUAAUCAGACAACAUAUUAUCAGUCAGUAAACACAUUAUCAAGGUUAUAAAUCAAUAAAAAUAAUAGUUUGUUAAUUAGCCUGCUUAUCAAAUAUAGUGAAAUAAGUUAUAUGCUCAUAUCAUAAAACGUUUGUACCCUCAGCCAGUCUGUCCUUUAUACUCUUAGCAGAUCGGAUCAUGCUGGGCAGAGAUUAUAUCUAUAAAAAUGACAGUAACAUGUGAAUUUCUUUGAUGUUGUAGCAUUUGUAUAAAUAAUAAAACAUUUGUAAAUAUAAAAAAUAUCAUUUUCAUAUUAAAUUUUGCGCAGGCAAAAAUCGUAAUUUUUGACUUAAUUUUCAGGCCAUACUUAAUGAAAAUAAUUAAUUGAACGUUUUAUCAGGUUGUUUUUGUAAACAUGCUUUGAUAAUCAUAAUAUUGCUUUGUCUUUCCGUGAAUAUCAGAGAUUGUGAAAAUUAUGAUAAUUCAACAACUGUCAAAAAGUUCAGAGGAGGAAGAUGAAAUUAUUAAGAAAAACAUACAAGAUUUUGUGACAGAUAGUGUGAAUGAUGAUAUCUCAGGUUGGAGACGGUAAAGGUUAAAAUUAUGAUAUGCUUAAACCCAGAUCGCCAUAGUGUAGGUGGACGAAAGAAGAAUGCUAAUUAAGAUAUAUGAACAUUGCUAUUUGUAGUAACAUCAAGAUAUUCACAAUAUUGUUCCAUUUAACAUUCAGAUAAAAA
This is a long non-coding RNA of Ruditapes philippinarum (Manila clam), 825 nucleotides long. RefSeq lists it as uncharacterized. The record is from RefSeq and is a predicted model, not a curated record. NCBI's taxonomy places the organism in Eukaryota, Metazoa, Mollusca, Bivalvia, Venerida, Veneridae. The transcript is spliced from 2 exons.